This 800-nucleotide ribosomal RNA is filed under the name uncultured crenarchaeote. RNAcentral describes it as "bacterial SSU rRNA". It matches the Rfam family "Archaeal small subunit ribosomal RNA", at positions 1 to 808 of the family's 1478-position model. Lineage: Archaea; Thermoproteati; Thermoproteota. The record is from RNAcentral.
UUCCGGUUGAUCCUGCCGGACCUGACUGCUAUCGGAUUGAUACUAAGCCAUGCGAGUCAUUGUAGCAAUACAAGGCAGACGGCUCAGUAACGCGUAGUCAACCUACCCUAUGGACGGGAAUAACCUCGGGAAACUGAGUAUAAUGCCCGAUAGAACAUUAUACCUGGAAUGGUUUAUGUUCCAAAUGAUUUAUCGCCGUAGGAUGGGACUGCGGCCUAUCAGUUUGUUGGUGAGGUAAUGGCCCACCAAGACUAUUACAGGUACGGGCUCUGAGAGGAGUGGCCCGGAGAUGGGUACUGAAACACGGACCCAGGCCCUAUGGGGCGCAGCAGGCGAGAAAACUUUGCAAUGUGCGAAAGCACGACAAGGUUAAUCCGAGUGGUUUCUGCUAAAGGAACCUUUUGUUAGUCCUAGAAACACUAACGAAUAAGGGGUGGGCAAGUUCUGGUGUCAGCCGCCGCGGUAAAACCAGCACCUCAAGUGGUCAGGAUGAUUAUUGGGCCUAAAGCAUCCGUAGCCGGCUCUGUAAGUUUUCGGUUAAAUCUGUACGCUUAACGUACAGGCCGCCGGAAAUACUGCAGAGCUAGGGAGUGGGAGAGGUAGACGGUACUCGGGAGGAAGUGGUAAAAUGCUUUGAUCUCUCGAUGACCACCUGUGGCGAAGGCGGUCUACCAGAACACGUCCGACGGUGAGGGAUGAAAGCUGGGGGAGCAAACCGGAUUAGAUACCCGGGUAGUCCCAGCUGUAAACUAUGCAAACUCAGUGAUGCAUUGGCUUGUGGCCAAUGCAGUGUUGCAGGA